RNAcentral lists this ribosomal RNA (2798 nucleotides) under Klebsiella pneumoniae. RNAcentral's name for it is "bacterial LSU rRNA". It matches the Rfam family "Bacterial large subunit ribosomal RNA". Lineage: Bacteria; Pseudomonadati; Pseudomonadota; Gammaproteobacteria; Enterobacterales; Enterobacteriaceae. The record is from RNAcentral.
CCGGCGAUGUCCGAAUGGGGAAACCCAGUGCAAUUCGUUGCACUAUCGUUAACUGAAUACAUAGGUUAACGAGGCGAACCGGGGGAACUGAAACAUCUAAGUACCCCGAGGAAAAGAAAUCAACCGAGAUUCCCCCAGUAGCGGCGAGCGAACGGGGAGCAGCCCAGAGUCUGAAUCAGCUUGUGUGUUAGUGGAACGGUCUGGAAAGUCCGACGGUACAGGGUGAUAGUCCCGUACACCAAAAUGCACAGGUUGUGAACUCGAAGAGUAGGGCGGGACACGUGGUAUCCUGUCUGAAUAUGGGGGGACCAUCCUCCAAGGCUAAAUACUCCUGACUGACCGAUAGUGAACCAGUACCGUGAGGGAAAGGCGAAAAGAACCCCGGCGAGGGGAGUGAAAAAGAACCUGAAACCGUGUACGUACAAGCAGUGGGAGCACCUUCGGGUGUGACUGCGUACCUUUUGUAUAAUGGGUCAGCGACUUAUAUUCUGUAGCAAGGUUAACCGUAUAGGGGAGCCGCAGGGAAACCGAGUCUUAACUGGGCGUUAAGUUGCAGGGUAUAGACCCGAAACCCGGUGAUCUAGCCAUGGGCAGGUUGAAGGUUGGGUAACACUAACUGGAGGACCGAACCGACUAAUGUUGAAAAAUUAGCGGAUGACUUGUGGCUGGGGGUGAAAGGCCAAUCAAACCGGGAGAUAGCUGGUUCUCCCCGAAAGCUAUUUAGGUAGCGCCUCGUGAACUCAUCUUCGGGGGUAGAGCACUGUUUCGGCUAGGGGGUCAUCCCGACUUACCAACCCGAUGCAAACUACGAAUACCGAAGAAUGUUAUCACGGGAGACACACGGCGGGUGCUAACGUCCGUCGUGAAGAGGGAAACAACCCAGACCGCCAGCUAAGGUCCCAAAGUCAUGGUUAAGUGGGAAACGAUGUGGGAAGGCACAGACAGCCAGGAUGUUGGCUUAGAAGCAGCCAUCAUUUAAAGAAAGCGUAAUAGCUCACUGGUCGAGUCGGCCUGCGCGGAAGAUGUAACGGGGCUAAACCAUGCACCGAAGCUGCGGCAGCGACACUAUGUGUUGUUGGGUAGGGGAGCGUUCUGUAAGCCUGCGAAGGUGACCUGUGAGGGUUGCUGGAGGUAUCAGAAGUGCGAAUGCUGACAUAAGUAACGAUAAAGCGGGUGAAAAGCCCGCUCGCCGGAAGACCAAGGGUUCCUGUCCAACGUUAAUCGGGGCAGGGUGAGUCGACCCCUAAGGCGAGGCCGAAAGGCGUAGUCGAUGGGAAACAGGUUAAUAUUCCUGUACUUGGUGUUACUGCGAAGGGGGGACGGAGAAGGCUAUGUUAGCCGGGCGACGGUUGUCCCGGUUUAAGCAUGUAGGCUGAUUGUCCAGGCAAAUCCGGAUAAUCAAGGCUGAGGUGUGAUGACGAGGCACUACGGUGCUGAAGUAACAAAUGCCCUGCUUCCAGGAAAAGCCUCUAAGCAUCAGGUAACAUUAAAUCGUACCCCAAACCGACACAGGUGGUCAGGUAGAGAAUACCAAGGCGCUUGAGAGAACUCGGGUGAAGGAACUAGGCAAAAUGGUGCCGUAACUUCGGGAGAAGGCACGCUGGUGUGUAGGUGAAGUCCCUGCGGAUGGAGCUGAGACCAGUCGAAGAUACCAGCUGGCUGCAACUGUUUAUUAAAAACACAGCACUGUGCAAACACGAAAGUGGACGUAUACGGUGUGACGCCUGCCCGGUGCCGGAAGGUUAAUUGAUGGGGUUAUCCGUAAGGAGAAGCUCUUGAUCGAAGCCCCGGUAAACGGCGGCCGUAACUAUAACGGUCCUAAGGUAGCGAAAUUCCUUGUCGGGUAAGUUCCGACCUGCACGAAUGGCGUAAUGAUGGCCAGGCUGUCUCCACCCGAGACUCAGUGAAAUUGAACUCGCUGUGAAGAUGCAGUGUACCCGCGGCAAGACGGAAAGACCCCGUGAACCUUUACUAUAGCUUGACACUGAACAUUGAGCCUUGAUGUGUAGGAUAGGUGGGAGGCUUUGAAGCGUGGACGCCAGUCUGCGUGGAGCCAACCUUGAAAUACCACCCUUUAAUGUUUGAUGUUCUAACGUUGGCCCCUGACCGGGGUUGCGGACAGUGUCUGGUGGGUAGUUUGACUGGGGCGGUCUCCUCCCAAAGCGUAACGGAGGAGCACGAAGGUUAGCUAAUCCUGGUCGGACAUCAGGAGGUUAGUGCAAUGGCAUAAGCUAGCUUGACUGCGAGCGUGACGGCGCGAGCAGGUGCGAAAGCAGGUCAUAGUGAUCCGGUGGUUCUGAAUGGAAGGGCCAUCGCUCAACGGAUAAAAGGUACUCCGGGGAUAACAGGCUGAUACCGCCCAAGAGUUCAUAUCGACGGCGGUGUUUGGCACCUCGAUGUCGGCUCAUCACAUCCUGGGGCUGAAGUAGGUCCCAAGGGUAUGGCUGUUCGCCAUUUAAAGUGGUACGCGAGCUGGGUUUAGAACGUCGUGAGACAGUUCGGUCCCUAUCUGCCGUGGGCGCUGGAGAAUUGAGGGGGGCUGCUCCUAGUACGAGAGGACCGGAGUGGACGCAUCACUGGUGUUCGGGUUGUCAUGCCAAUGGCACUGCCCGGUAGCUAAAUGCGGAAGAGAUAAGUGCUGAAAGCAUCUAAGCACGAAACUUGCCCCGAGAUGAGUUCUCCCUGAGACUUUAAGUCUCCUGAAGGAACGUUAAAGACGAUGACGUUGAUAGGCCGGGUGUGUAAGCGCAGCGAUGCGUUGAGCUAACCGGUACUAAUGAACCGUGAGGCUUAACCUU